Molecule: microRNA, 21 nt
Filed under: Magallana gigas (Pacific oyster)
Lineage: Eukaryota; Metazoa; Mollusca; Bivalvia; Ostreida; Ostreidae
Description: Mgi-Mir-281_5p (mature (co-guide))
Source: RNAcentral
AAGGGAGCAUCCGUUGACAGU